RNAcentral lists this ribosomal RNA (614 nucleotides) under uncultured bacterium. RNAcentral describes it as "bacterial SSU rRNA". It matches the Rfam family "Bacterial small subunit ribosomal RNA", at positions 60 to 663 of the family's 1533-position model. The record is from RNAcentral.
AGACGAGUUAUCUGAACCUUCGGGGAACGAUAACGGCGUCNAGCGGCGGACGGGUGAGUAAUGCCUAGGAAAUUGCCCUGAUGUGGGGGAUAACCAUUGGAAACGAUGGCUAAUACCGCAUGAUGCCUACGGGCCAAAGAGGGGGACCUUCGGGCCUCUCGCGUCAGGAUAUGCCUAGGUGGGAUUAGCUAGUUGGUGAGGUAAGGGCUCACCAAGGCGACGAUCCCUAGCUGGUCUGAGAGGAUGAUCAGCCACACUGGAACUGAGACACGGUCCAGACUCCUACGGGAGGCAGCAGUGGGGAAUAUUGCACAAUGGGCGCAAGCCUGAUGCAGCCAUGCCGCGUGUGUGAAGAAGGCCUUCGGGUUGUAAAGCACUUUCAGUCGUGAGGAAGGUGGUGUAGUUAAUAGCUGCAUUAUUUGACGUUAGCGACAGAAGAAGCACCGGCUAACUCCGUGCCAGCAGCCGCGGUAAUACGGAGGGUGCGAGCGUUAAUCGGAAUUACUGGGCGUAAAGCGCAUGCAGGUGGUUUGUUAAGUCAGAUGUGAAAGCCCGGGGCUCAACCUCGGAAUAGCAUUUGAAACUGGCAGACUAGAGUACUGUAGAGGGGGGUA